AGAGUUUGAUCAUGGCUCAGAACGAACGCUGGCGGCAGGCCUAACACAUGCAAGUCGAGCGCUUCACUUCGGUGAGGAGCGGCGGACGGGUUAGUAACGCGUGGGAAUAUACCCAGUUCUAAGGGAUAGCGACUGGAAACGGUGAGUAAUACCUUAUACGCCCUUCGGGGGAAAGAUUUAUCGGAAUUGGAUUAGCCCGCGUUAGAUUAGAUAGUUGGUGAGGUAACGGCUCACCAAGUCUACGAUCUAUAGCUGGUUUGAGAGGAUGAUCAGCAACACUGGGACUGAGACACGGCCCAGACUCCUACGGGAGGCAGCAGUGGGGAAUCUUGGACAAUGGGCGCAAGCCUGAUCCAGCCAUGCCGCGUGAGUGAUGAAGGCCUUAGGGUCGUAAAACUCUUUCGCCAGGGAUGAUAAUGACAGUACCUGGUAAAGAAACCCCGGCUAACUCCGUGCCAGCAGCCGCGGUAAUACGGAGGGGGUUAGCGUUGUUCGGAAUUACUGGGCGUAAAGCGUACGUAGGCGGAUUAGAAAGCUAGGGGUGAAAUCCCAGGGCUCAACCCUGGAACUGCCUUUAAAACUCCUAGUCUAGAGGUCGAGAGAGGUGAGUGGAAUUCCAAGUGUAGAGGUGAAAUUCGUAGAUAUUUGGAGGAACACCAGUGGCGAAGGCGGCUCACUGGCUCGAUACUGACGCUGAGGUACGAAAGUGUGGGGAGCAAACAGGAUUAGAUACCCUGGUAGUCCACACCGUAAACGAUGAAUGCCAGACGUCAGCAAGCAUGCUUGUUGGUGUCACACCUAACGGAUUAAGCAUUCCGCCUGGGAAGUACGGUCGCAAGAUUAAAACUCAAGAAAUUGACGGGGGCCCGCACAAGCGGU
Molecule: ribosomal RNA, 879 nt
Filed under: uncultured bacterium
Lineage: Bacteria
Description: bacterial SSU rRNA
Rfam family: Bacterial small subunit ribosomal RNA
Source: RNAcentral